Grammomys surdaster is the source of this 145-nucleotide small nucleolar RNA. RefSeq annotates it as small nucleolar RNA SNORA48. The record is from RefSeq and is a predicted model, not a curated record. NCBI's taxonomy places the organism in Eukaryota, Metazoa, Chordata, Mammalia, Rodentia, Muridae. The transcript has a single exon.
UCCCCUUGGCAAUGGGCAAAAGAGACACCUUGUUGGUGGUGGUGCUCUCAUAAUAGUCAGAGGCAGAGCAAUUUACAGUCCUUUGUUCAUCUUAGCUUGAUACCUGGCUUGGUGACCAAAGCUGUUUUAUGCUUAGAAUACACAA